GAUGAACGCUGGCGGCGUGCCUAAUACAUGCAAGUCGAGCGAACGGACGAGAAGCUUGCUUCUCUGAUGUUAGCGGCGGACGGGUGAGUAACACGUGGAUGACCUACCUAUAAGACUGGGAUAACUUCGGGAAACCGGAGCUAAUACCGGAUAAUAUUUUGAACCGCAUGGUUCAAAAGUGAAAGACGGUCUUGCUGUCACUUAUAGAUGGAUCCGCGCUGCAUUAGCUAGUUGGUAAGGUAACGGCUUACCAAGGCAACGAUGUAUAGCCGACCUGAGAGGGUGAUCGGCCACACUGGAACUGAGACACGGCCCAGACUCCUACGGGAGGCAGCAGUAGGGAAUCUUCCGCAAUGGGCGAAAGCCUGACGGAGCAACGCCGCGUGAGUGAUGAAGGUCUUCGGAUCGUAAAACUCUGUUAUUAGGGAAGAACAUAUGUGUAAGUAACUGUGCACAUCUUGACGGUACCUAAUCAGAAAGCCACGGCUAACUACGUG
This 497-nucleotide ribosomal RNA is filed under the name uncultured bacterium. RNAcentral describes it as "partial 16S ribosomal RNA". It matches the Rfam family "Bacterial small subunit ribosomal RNA", at positions 28 to 507 of the family's 1533-position model. The record is from RNAcentral.